Molecule: long non-coding RNA, 254 nt
Filed under: Helianthus annuus (common sunflower)
Lineage: Eukaryota; Viridiplantae; Streptophyta; Magnoliopsida; Asterales; Asteraceae
Description: sRNA HanXRQr2_Chr14g0668221
Rfam family: Small nucleolar RNA R30/Z108 (bases 1-100)
Source: RNAcentral
GGGAAUUGCGAUGAGGAUACAAAGCUCCCUCUUCUGAAUUAGACUGAGGAAACUCUGCUGGCAGAAUCGAACCAACUUUAAAAUCAUGCCAUCUGAGCAAUUUCUUCCCCACAUCCAUCAAUAGUUUUUAUUAUUAAUGUUUUGUUACUCCGAUAGAUUGCAGUGAUGACCUCAGAAAAAUUCAAGCUCAACAGACCGGAAUGCAGGAUUCUUAACUGAGUUUUGCGUGUCGAUAACCCGCUCACUGAGCAGUC